GCAAUCAUUUCUUUAUUUCUGCAAAAACAAUAUUCUGUCUGAAUCUUAACCGACCACUUUCUGACAUCCGUGUGUAGACGGUGACCCGAAAAAAUACUUGGCCUACUACAGAAGAGCCACCGUCUACCUGGCCACGGACAAGUCUAAAUCCGCUUUACUGGAUCUAAGCAAAGUCAUCGAGUGUCAUGAUUUCCCCUUGAAGCAGCGUGCUCUAAGCGCGAAUGCGCGAGCACCUGCUUUUCCGUUGUUGACAGUAGUGACAUCUGGACACGUGUGUUUUGUUUAUGUUUCUGUCAUGUCUCCUCCCUGUUCUGUCAUUGGCUGGGAUUUCACGUGUGUCUGUAUUGCCCUCAGCAAGUUUAGAGGCUGAUCAGUUUAGACGCUGAUCAUGUCCACAUAUAUACCGCGCGAAUCCCAGCACACAACGCGGAAGAUUAUCGUAGAGUUAGAUUGGUUUGUUUAGUAGUCAUAGUCACGGUCCAUGUUUAGAGUUCGUUCACGCUGGAUUAUCCGCUCCCAGUUCCUCGUCAUAGUUGAUGUUUCUCGUUUAGUUUAUCGACCCUGUUUUCCGUGACACGACCUUGAUUCAUGUUUAACCCUGUGUAUGCCUGUUUGCCGAUCGCCUGACCUUCGCCUGUUUUGGAUUAUGUUUUGGAUUUGUCUGCCUGUCUCUCUUUUAAAAUAAACAACUGUUCAUACUGCAAUUGCAUCCGUCCUAUCUCCGCUCCGUCACGAUACGUGACAUCGAGUUAAACCUGAUUUCACAUCGGAUAGCCCAGAAGAAGCUCAUUAAAGCCUACAGGAAGUUGUCACAGCAGUGACACCCAGACAACUUCCAGGAUCCUGAAGAGAAGAACAAGGCUGAGAAGAAGUUCAUAGACAUCCCACAGGCCAAGGAAGUGCUCACUGAGCCAGAAACGAGGAGUUCAUUUGACAAGGGUGAAGACCCAAUGGACCCUGAGAGCAAGCACGGAGAAGGCCAUCACCAUUUCCACGGGGCCUGGGAGAGUUUCCAGGGCUUUAACCCUUUUGGCUCUGGACUGUUCAACUUUAAAUUCAACUUUAACUGAGAUCAUCCAGGAGGACAUCAGUCUGAUCUGAAUAUAUAGCAUCAGGCAUCCAGCGAGAAGUGUAACCUGUUGAACCUGUUUGACACUAACUGCCAUAGAUGUGGCUACAGAAGCCACUGUGGCAUGAAGAUGCAUCAUAUGCUGUUGAAUAUUCUCAGACUUGCCAAGCUGAGCUAAGUGGUAUUAUAUAAAGUAAUUAUUUCAGGGACCAUCAGAGUGUGGGGGUUCAUUCCCAAGCAACCAACUAUCCUAAAACUAUUGUGUGUGUGUGUGUGUGUGUGUGUGUGUGUGUGUGUAGGAGACUGCACUAUUUUUCUAUCAGUUAAAUAAUGCUGCAUUGUAAAUACACAAUUAAAGAUAUUACGUAUUUAAUUAAAAAGAAAGUGACAUUAUUCUCGGAUUUCG
Ictalurus punctatus (channel catfish) is the source of this 1475-nucleotide long non-coding RNA. RefSeq lists it as uncharacterized. The record is from RefSeq and is a predicted model, not a curated record. The transcript has 3 exons. NCBI's taxonomy places the organism in Eukaryota, Metazoa, Chordata, Actinopteri, Siluriformes, Ictaluridae.